This 2726-nucleotide ribosomal RNA is filed under the name Betaproteobacteria bacterium. RNAcentral's name for it is "23S ribosomal RNA". It matches the Rfam family "Bacterial large subunit ribosomal RNA". The record is from RNAcentral. Lineage: Bacteria; Pseudomonadati; Pseudomonadota; Betaproteobacteria.
GUUAUAGGAUCAAGCGACUAAGCGCACAUGGCGGAUGCCUUGGCGGCAACAGGCGAUGAAAGACGUGUAAGCCUGCGAUAAGUUUCGGGGAGCUGGCAAUAAAGCUUUGAUCCGGAAAUUUCUGAAUGGGGAAACCCACCCGCAAGGGUACUCCUGACUGAAUACAUAGGUCAGGUAGAGCGAACCCGGCGAAUUGAAACAUCUCAGUAGCCGGAGGAAAAGACAUCAACCGAGAUUCCCAAAGUAGUGGCGAGCGAAAUGGGAAGAGCCUUCAUGAUUUAGCAGUUGAUAUAGCCGAACGGUCUGGAAAGUCCGACGACACUGGGUGAUAGUCCCGUAGGCGAAAUGUUGGCUGUGGAACUAAGCAUGAGAGAAGUAGGGCGGGACACGUGAAAUCCUGUCUGAAUAUGGGGGGACCAUCCUCCAAGGCUAAAUACUCGUUGCCGACCGAUAGCGAACUAGUACUGUGAAGGAAAGGUGAAAAGAACCCCGGGAGGGGAGUGAAAUAGACCCUGAAACCGUGUGCGUACAAACAGUCGGAGCUCGAAAGAGUGACGGCGUACCUUUUGUAUAAUGGGUCAGCGACUUACGUUCAGUAGCAAGCUUAACCGAAUAGGGUAGGCGUAGGGAAACCGAGUCUGAUAAGGGCGAAUUUAGUUGCUGGGCGUAGACCCGAAACCGGAUGAUCUAGUCAUGGCCAGGAUGAAGGUGGGGUAACACCUACUGGAGGUCCGAACCGACUGUUGUUGCAAAAACAGCGGAUGAGUUGUGACUAGGGGUGAAAGGCUAAACAAAUCCGGAGAUAGCUGGUUCUCCUCGAAAACUAUUGAGGUAGUGCCUCGUGUAUAUCCGCUGGGGGUAGAGCACUGUUAUGGCUAGGGGGACAUGUCGUCUUACCAAACCAUGGCAAACUCCGAAUACCAGUGAGAGUGAGCACGGGAGACAGUCCUCGGGUGCUAACGUCCGAGGUCGAGAGGGAAACAACCCAGACCGCCAGCUAAGGUCCCCAAGAUAUGGCUAAGUGGGAAACGAAGUGGGAAGGCAUAGACAGUCAGGAUGUUGGCUUAGAAGCAGCCAUCAUUUAAAGAAAGCGUAAUAGCUCACUGAUCGAGUCGUCCUGCGCGGAAGAUGUAACGGGGCUCAAGCAGAGGAGCGUUCUGUAAGCCUGUGAAGGUGUUCUGUAAGGAAUGCUGGAGGUAUCAGAAGUGCGAAUGCUGACAUGAGUAGCGUUAAAACGGGUGAAAAGCCCGUUCGCCGAAAACCCAAGGUUUCCUGCGCAACGUUCAUCGGCGCAGGGUGAGUCGGCCCCUAAGGCGAGGCAGAGAUGCGUAGUCGAUGGGAAGCGGGUUAAUAUUCCCGCACCGAUAUGUGAUGCGAUGGGGGGACGGAGAAAGCUAACCAAGCCAGGUGUUGGAUAUCCUGGUGAAAGCGUGUAGGCGUGCUGCUUAGGUAAAUCCGGGCGGCUUAGCUGAGGCGUGAGACGGAAACCUCCUCGGAGGUCCAAGUUGGUGAUGCUCUGCUUCCAAGAAAAGCCUCUAAGCUUCAGUCACAUAUUGACCGUACCGCAAACCGACACUGGUGGGUAGGAUGAAAAUUCUAAGGCGCUUGAGAGAACUCUGGAGAAGGAACUCGGCAAAUUGAUACCGUAACUUCGGGAGAAGGUAUGCCUCUUAUUGUGAAGUCCCUUGCGGAUGGAGCGACGAGAGGUCGCAGAGAAUCGGUGGCUGCAACUGUUUACCAAAAACACAGGACUCUGCUAACACGAAAGUGGAUGUAUAGGGUCUGACGCCUGCCCGGUGCUGGAAGAUUAAAUGAUGGGGUGCAAGCUCUUGAUUGAAGUCCCAGUAAACGGCGGCCGUAACUAUAACGGUCCUAAGGUAGCUGUCUCCUCCAGAGACUCAGCGAAGUUGAAGUGUUUGUGAUGAUGCAAUCUCCCCGCGGCAAGACGGAAAGACCCCAUGAACCUUUACUGUAGCUUUGCAUGGGACUGUGACGAUGUUUGUGUAGGAUAGCUGGGAGGCUUUGAAGCGUGGACGCUAGUUCGCGUGGAGCCAACGUUGAAAUACCAGCCUGACAGCGUUGCGGUUCUAACCUGGCCCCCUGAAUCGGGGGUGGGGACAGUGCAUGGUGGGCAGUUUGACUGGGGCGGUCUCCUCCUAAAAGGUAACGGAGGAGCUCGAAGGUGCGCUCAGCGCGGUCGGAAAUCGCGCUACUGGAGUGUAAUGGCACAAGCGCGCUUGACUGCGAGACUGACAAGUCGAGCAGGUACGAAAGUAGGACAUAGUGAUCCGGUGGUUCUGUAUGGAAGGGCCAUCGCUCAACGGACAAAAGGUACUCUGGGGAUAACAGGCUGAUACCGCCCAAGAGUUCAUAUCGACGGCGGUGUUUGGCACCUCGAUGUCGGCUCAUCUCAUCCUGGGGCUGUCCUAUCUGCCGUGGGCGCUGGAAAUUUGACGGGGCCUGUUCCUAGUACGAGAGGACCGGAAUGGACGUACCGCUGGUGUACCUGUUGUCUCGCCAGAGGCAUCGCAGGGUAGCUAUGUACGGAAGAGAUAAACGCUGAAAGCAUCUAAGCGUGAAACUCGCCCGAAGAUUAGAUUUCCCGGGGGUUUAACCCCCUUGAAGAGCCGUUCAAGACCAGGACGUUGAUAGGUCAGGUGUGGAAGGGAAGUAAUUCCUUAAGCUAACUGAUACUAAUUACUCGUAAGGCUUGAUCCUAUAACUCA